GACGAACGCUGGCGGCGUGCCUAAUACAUGCAAGUAGAACGCUGAAGAGAGGAGCUUGCUCUUCUUGGAUGAGUUGCGAACGGGUGAGUAACGCGUAGGUAACCUGCCUUGUAGCGGGGGAUAACUAUUGGAAACGAUAGCUAAUACCGCAUAACAAUGGAUGACACAUGUCAUUUAUUUGAAAGGGGCAAUUGCUCCACUACAAGAUGGACCUGCGUUGUAUUAGCUAGUAGGUGAGGUAAUGGCUCACCUAGGCGACGAUACAUAGCCGACCUGAGAGGGUGAUCGGCCACACUGGGACUGAGACACGGCCCAGACUCCUACGGGAGGCAGCAGUAGGGAAUCUUCGGCAAUGGGGGCAACCCUGACCGAGCAACGCCGCGUGAGUGAAGAAGGUUUUCGGAUCGUAAAGCUCUGUUGUAAGUCAAGAACGGGUGUGAGAGUGGAAAGUUCACACUGUGACGGUAGCUUACCAGAAAGGGACGGCUAACUACGUGCCAGCAGCCGCGGUAAUACGUAGGUCCCGAGCGUUGUCCGGAUUUAUUGGGCGUAAAGCGAGCGCAGGCGGUUUGAUAAGUCUGAAGUUAAAGGCUGUGGCUCAACCAUAGUUCGCUUUGGAAACUGUCAAACUUGAGUGCAGAAGGGGAGAGUGGAAUUCCAUGUGUAGCGGUGAAAUGCGUAGAUAUAUGGAGGAACACCGGUGGCGAAAGCGGCUCUCUGGUCUGUAACUGACGCUGAGGCUCGAAAGCGUGGGGAGCGAACAGGAUUAGAUACCCUGGUAGUCCACGCCGUAAACGAUGAGUGCUAGGUGUUGGAUCCUUUCCGGGAUUCAGUGCCGCAGCUAACGCAUUAAGCACUCCGCCUGGGGAGUACGACCGCAAGGUUGAAACUCAAAGGAAUUGACGGGGGCCCGCACAAGCGGUGGAGCAUGUGGUUUAAUUCGAAGCAACGCGAAGAACCUUACCAGGUCUUGACAUCCCGAUGCUAUUUCUAGAGAUAGAAAGUUACUUCGGUACAUCGGUGACAGGUGGUGCAUGGUUGUCGUCAGCUCGUGUCGUGAGAUGUUGGGUUAAGUCCCGCAACGAGCGCAACCCCUAUUGUUAGUUGCCAUCAUUCAGUUGGGCACUCUAGCGAGACUGCCGGUAAUAAACCGGAGGAAGGUGGGGAUGACGUCAAAUCAUCAUGCCCCUUAUGACCUGGGCUACACACGUGCUACAAUGGUUGGUACAACGAGUUGCGAGUCGGUGACGGCGAGCUAAUCUCUUAAAGCCAAUCUCAGUUCGGAUUGUAGGCUGCAACUCGCCUACAUGAAGUCGGAAUCGCUAGUAAUCGCGGAUCAGCACGCCGCGGUGAAUACGUUCCCGGGCCUUGUACACACCGCCCGUCACACCACGAGAGUUCGUAACACCCGAAGUCGGUGAGGUAACCUUUUGGAGCCAGCCGCCUAAGGUGGGACAGAUGAUUGGGGUGAAGUCGUAACAAGGUAGCCGUAUCGGAAGG
RNAcentral lists this ribosomal RNA (1500 nucleotides) under uncultured bacterium. Its description in RNAcentral is "bacterial SSU rRNA". It matches the Rfam family "Bacterial small subunit ribosomal RNA". The record is from RNAcentral.